RNAcentral lists this transfer RNA (76 nucleotides) under Vibrio metschnikovii. RNAcentral's name for it is "tRNA-Thr". It matches the Rfam family "tRNA". From Rfam's summary of the family: Transfer RNA (tRNA) molecules are approximately 80 nucleotides in length. Lineage: Bacteria; Pseudomonadati; Pseudomonadota; Gammaproteobacteria; Vibrionales; Vibrionaceae. RNAcentral also lists the same sequence under 4 other names. The record is from RNAcentral.
GCUGAUAUAGCUCAGGCGGUAGAGCGCAUCCUUGGUAAGGAUGAGGUCGGCAGUUCGAGUCUGCCUAUCAGCACCA